CUCGUCUCUCAUCUUCCCCUCCCUCAGAAAAAAAACCCUAAAUUCCUUCAUACUUCUCAAAUUCAACCACCACCAGAUUCAUCUCUUGUUUCUGAGUUCACACAAUCAACUCACAGUCAAAACCCACUCAAUCUCUUCUCCGGUUCAUGAAUCUUUUUUUUCUUUGGAUUUUAAAACUAGUUGUAAAUCGUUGCUGCAGAGUUAGGGUUUGCUUGAAUUGAAUUUGGAUAGAAUGGAUUUGAAGGUGAUUGGAUGGCCGUGUCAAUGUAUUUGAGUUGAGAAAUAGAAAGAUUUGUUGAAGCUGCAGUUUCAGUGUGGUUGAGUUGAUAAAUGGAAGGAUUUGUUUAUGUUAAUCAAAGUGGUUUUGAUUUGUAUUCAGGUAGCUGGGUUAAAGACGAUUAACAUUCCCAGUUUCAUCAUCGAGAGAAGAAGAAGAUGAUUGUUUACUUCUUCUCAGAGGAUUUGAUUCGAUUUCUUCCUCUUUGAUUCAACUUAAAGGCAAUUUACAUAAGGCCCUUGAGGGAGCCAGAGAUCUAUCAAAACCUUCACUAACUGAUAUAUUGCAAAAUGAUGCUGAAAAAUCAGAAGAGGGAAGCAAAAGUUUGAAGAAGUGAAGGCAUGAUGAGUCUGAAGAACAAAUUCGAUGAAAUUGGGAGAAAAGAUGAGGUCCGGGGUUCAUAAAUUGAGCAAACAUGGAUGAGAACAACCAACUUGUAAUUUUAGUUUCUCUAUUAUUAAUGAGCUUAGUAUUUGGGUUUCAUCUGAGUGAUCUCAAUUAUCAGGUACUCUCCAUUUUCUCAAAUGGCUAGUAUUUGUGAUAAGCUGAAGAUGUCUUUUGAGGAGGAGGAGGAAAGGAAGAGCAAUGCUACUUAGGUUACUGCAGACUCGGGUUGAUCUUAGAAUAUGCCGCUAAAGGUGAACUUUACAAGGAACUGCAUAAGUGCAAAUAUUUUAGUGAAAAACGAGCUGCAACGGACAUUGCAUCAUUAGCAUGAGCUCUGAUAUACUGUCAUGGAAAGCAUGUCAUACACAGGGACAUUAAUCCAGAGAAUCUCUUGAUUGGAGCUCAGGGUGAACUCAAAAUUGUUGAUUUUGGUUGGUCAGUUCGUACGUUCAACCGUAGGCGGACCAUGUGUGGCACAUUGGAUUACCUGCCACCUUAACUGGGCUUUGAUUGACAAUAUUGCUGAACCUAUAGUGUAUGCACCACAGUUGGGCUAGUUUACCAGAAUUAUAGUGACUUGUUUAGAAGUCUUAGAGGAAUGUAUUCGUGUAGAAAUGACGUAUAUGGUUUAUAUUUGGCUUGCCGAUAGUGGGUUAGUUAUACUUGUUCUGCCCAGAUACAUGCUUUUCCGUGUUAGAUCUUUGUAAGGGUGCCGCUAAGAGACUGCCGUUGCUAUUUCUUUGGAAAUGACAAGAUUACGUUGAGGGUGCAACAAAAUCAUACCUAAGAACAGUGGACAACUCUUACAUUGAUAGCUCUGACAAGGUGUUUAUUACCAAGUAACCUCCAACUGCAUCUAUCCAAUCUGGGCAAAAAGCAGACUACAAGUUGUGGAGAUUCAGGAUUUGGUGGUUUGCUUUACACUUGUAUUUAAGACACAUUGGAACCUAUUAGCUAGGACUUGUAGACUUGGAUAUUUUUCUUAAAGUUAAGUGUCUAACUGAUGAAUUAAGUUAUGAAUUGUACAAUGAAUAUUGAUUUUUAAAUAAAUGAUCAUUUGAAUUUAUGAA
Papaver somniferum (opium poppy) is the source of this 1734-nucleotide long non-coding RNA. RefSeq lists it as uncharacterized. Lineage: Eukaryota; Viridiplantae; Streptophyta; Magnoliopsida; Ranunculales; Papaveraceae. The transcript has 8 exons. The record is from RefSeq and is a predicted model, not a curated record.